GACGAAUGCUGGCGGCGUGCCUAAUACAUGCAAGUAGAACGCUGAAGGAGGAGCUUGCUUCUCUGGAUGAGUUGCGAACGGGUGAGUAACGCGUAGGUAACCUGCCUGGUAGCGGGGGAUAACUAUUGGAAACGAUAGCUAAUACCGCAUAAGAGUAGAUGUUGCAUGACAUUUGCUUAAAAGGUGCACUUGCAUCACUACCAGAUGGACCUGCGUUGUAUUAGCUAGUUGGUGGGGUAAGGGCUCACCAAGGCGACGAUACAUAGCCGACCUGAGAGGGUGAUCGGCCACACUGGGACUGAGACACGGCCCAGACUCCUACGGGAGGCAGCAGUAGGGAAUCUUCGGCAAUGGACGGAAGUCUGACCGAGCAACGCCGCGUGAGUGAAGAAGGUUUUCGGAUCGUAAAGCUCUGUUGUAAGAGAAGAACGAGUGUGAGAGUGGAAAGUUCAC
RNAcentral lists this ribosomal RNA (453 nucleotides) under Streptococcus pneumoniae. RNAcentral's name for it is "bacterial SSU rRNA". It matches the Rfam family "Bacterial small subunit ribosomal RNA", at positions 28 to 467 of the family's 1533-position model. The record is from RNAcentral. Lineage: Bacteria; Bacillati; Bacillota; Bacilli; Lactobacillales; Streptococcaceae.